CUUAACACAUGCAAGUCGCACGAGAACUCUUUAGCUUGCUAAAGAUAGUAAAGUGGCGCACGGGUGAGUAACGCGUGGGUAAUCUACCUCCGAAUUGGGGAUAACACCGCGAAAGCGAUGCUAAUACCGGAUAAUAUCUCAGAACCUUCGGGUUUUGAGAUCAAAGGUGGCUUCUUCAUGAAAGCUAUCGUUUGGAGAUGAGCCCGCGUACCAUUAGCUUGUUGGUGGGGUAAUGGCCUACCAAGGCUACGAUGGUUAGCUGGUCUGAGAGGAUGAUCAGCCACACUGGAACUGACACACGGUCCAGACUCCUACGGGAGGCAGCAGUGAGGAAUUUUGCGCAAUGGGGGAAACCCUGACGCAGCAACGCCGCGUGAGUGAUGAAGGCUUUCGGGUCGUAAAGCUCUGUCAAGUGGGAAGAACCUGCUUGGUGCCAAUACCACCAAGCACUGACGGUACCACUGAAGGAAGCACCGGCUAACUCCGUGCCAGCAGCCGCGGUAAUACGGAGGGUGCAAGCGUUAUUCGGAAUUAUUGGGCGUAAAGGGCGCGUAGGCGGUUUUUUAAGUCAGAUGUGAAAGCCCGGGGCUUAACCCCGGAAGUGCAUUUGAAACUAAGGGACUUGAGUAUGGGAGAGGGAAGUGGAAUUCCUGGUGUAGAGGUGAAAUUCGUAGAUAUCAGGAGGAACACCGGUGGCGAAGGCGACUUCCUGGACCAAUACUGACGCUGAGGCGCGAAGGCGUGGGGAGCAAACAGGAUUAGAUACCCUGGUAGUCCACGCAGUAAACGAUGAACACUAGGUGUAGCGGGUAUUGACCCCUGCUGUGCCGCAGUUAACGCAUUAAGUGUUCCGCCUGGGGAGUACGACCGCAAGGUUAAAACUCAAAGGGA
This 891-nucleotide ribosomal RNA is filed under the name uncultured bacterium. RNAcentral describes it as "bacterial SSU rRNA". It matches the Rfam family "Bacterial small subunit ribosomal RNA", at positions 47 to 909 of the family's 1533-position model. The record is from RNAcentral.